AACGUACGCUGGCGGCAGGCCUAACACAUGCAAGUCGAGCGAGACCUUCGGGUCUAGCGGCGGACGGGUGAGUAACGCGUGGGAAUCUGCCCUUGGGUUCGGAAUAACAGUUAGAAAUGACUGCUAAUACCGGAUGAUGUCUUCGGACCAAAGAUUUAUCGCCCAAGGAUGAGCCCGCGUAGGAUUAGGUAGUUGGUGGGGUAAUGGCUCACCAAGCCGACGAUCCUUAGCUGGUCUGAGAGGAUGAUCAGCCACACUGGGACUGAGACACGGCCCAGACUCCUACGGGAGGCAGCAGUGGGGAAUAUUGGACAAUGGGCGAAAGCCUGAUCCAGCAAUGCCGCGUGAGUGAUGAAGGCCCUCGGGUCGUAAAGCUCUUUUACCAGGGAUGAUAAUGACAGUACCUGGAGAAUAAGCUCCGGCUAACUCCGUG
Molecule: ribosomal RNA, 433 nt
Filed under: uncultured bacterium
Lineage: Bacteria
Description: bacterial SSU rRNA
Rfam family: Bacterial small subunit ribosomal RNA
Source: RNAcentral